This is a non-coding RNA of Photobacterium aquae, 165 nucleotides long. The record is from Rfam. NCBI's taxonomy places the organism in Bacteria, Pseudomonadati, Pseudomonadota, Gammaproteobacteria, Vibrionales, Vibrionaceae.
GCAAUCUCAGGGGGAAGUUGUACUGAGACAUACGGUAUGUGGAGUAUUCGGGCUGAUUGCAUCCAUGUACUAGGUAGGUAUUAGCCAUGCUAGUGGUUAGUAGACGGGCACUAAUAGCGUCAGUUGCUAGGAAGUAAAGCGACGGCAUAUUGAGGAAUCCCAACU